ACACGACAUAUGAGCGGACAAUACUCGCAACAAUAUUGUACAAUGGAUCUGAUUGGAAUUGCUUUUUCCAGAGACUCUGGAAAUAGAACUUUGCUUACAAAUGUACUAAAAACAACCAGAAUAUGAAGAAAUUUAGAAGGGUGCUUGCUAAGAGCGACGAGAGACCCCCCUCCUUAUGCACUGAAGAUUAGGUUUGCAAGUCUCCUUUUUUAGUUUAACUAUCUCAAAUGCUAAACGUGUGUUUCACGUAAGAUAACUGAAAUAUUUUGUGUCUUCAAGUAAGAGUUUAAACGAAAUGAAACUUAUAGGUAUGGAAAUUACAAAAUUUCCUACUGCAUGAUAUUUACGUUUCAUUCGUUUUUAUAGAGAGAUAUAUGAGAUGGAAUAAUAUGAUAAGUAUUACAAUAUUUUUCACUUUUCUCACGUUUGAAAAAACCCCGCUUGAAAUGAUCGAAAUAUAUCCAUUUAUGUAUUACAGUUUAUAUUCAACGUUUACGAGAUGUUGUACUACGCGAGAGAAUGUACGUGUAUUAUGUCGCCUUACUGCAAGUAGUUGGGCCAUUUGGACCGACAAUGAAUAGGUUUUUAAUUUUUUAACAAACACCCUUUGGACCAAUUCGCACGAGAUGACAAAGAAAUGCGCGAAGCAGUAUUAACAGAAACGGAUUGACCAGACCAGUUGGCACCGAUGAAAAAAAGCACUAUGCACAAUGUAUUUUGUGUUGGUAAUCACUGAU
This is a long non-coding RNA of Megachile rotundata (alfalfa leafcutting bee), 737 nucleotides long. NCBI's taxonomy places the organism in Eukaryota, Metazoa, Arthropoda, Insecta, Hymenoptera, Megachilidae. The record is from RefSeq and is a predicted model, not a curated record.